RNAcentral lists this ribosomal RNA (292 nucleotides) under uncultured bacterium. RNAcentral describes it as "partial 16S ribosomal RNA". It matches the Rfam family "Bacterial small subunit ribosomal RNA", at positions 505 to 796 of the family's 1533-position model. The record is from RNAcentral.
GUGUCAGCCGCCGCGGUAAAACGUAGGAGGCGAGCGUUAUCCGGAUUUACUGGGCGUAAAGCGUGUGCAGGCGGUUCGGCAAGUUGGAUGUGAAAGCUCCUGGCUUAACUAGGAGAGGUCGUUCAAUACUACCGAACUUGAGGGCAUCAGAGGAAGGUGGAAUUCCCGGUGUAGUGGUGAAAUGCGUAGAUAUCGGGAGGAACACCAGUGGCGAAAGCGGCCUUCUGGGAUGAUCCUGACGCUCAUACACGAAAGCUAGGGUAGCGAACGGGAUUAGAAACCCUCGUAGUCC